AGGAUGAACGCUGGCGGCGUGCCUAAUACAUGCAAGUCGAGCGGUAAGGCUCCUUCGGGAGUACACGAGCGGCGGACGGCUGAGUAACGCGUAGGAACAUACCCCAAACUGAGGGAUAAGCACCAGAAAUGGUGUCUAAUACCGCAUGUGCUCUUCGGAGUAAAGCUACGGCGGUUUGGGAAUGGCCUGCGUCCGAUUAGCUUGUUGGUGAGGUAAUGGCUCACCAAGGCGACGAUCGGUAGCUGGUCUGAGAGGAUGACCAGCCAGACUGGGACUGAGAACGGCCCAGACUCCUACGGGAGGCAGCAGUAGGGAAUUUUCCACAAUGGGCGAAAGCCUGAUGGAGCAACGCCGCGUGCAGGAUGAAUGCCUUCGGGUUGUAAACUGCUUUUAUCUGUGACGAAUAUGACGGUAGCAGAUGAAUAAGCUUCGGCUAACUCCGCGCCAGCAGCCGC
Molecule: ribosomal RNA, 455 nt
Filed under: uncultured bacterium
Lineage: Bacteria
Description: SSU rRNA
Rfam family: Bacterial small subunit ribosomal RNA
Source: RNAcentral